CAGUAGCCACGGUAAUACGAAGGGGGCUAGCGUUGUUCGGAAUUACUGGGCGUAAAGCGCACGUAGGCGGACAUUUAAGUCAGGGGUGAAAUCCCGGGGCUCAACCCCGGAACUGCCUUUGAUACUGGGUGUCUAGAGUAUGGAAGAGGUGAGUGGAAUUCCGAGUGUAGAGGUGAAAUUCGUAGAUAUUCGGAGGAACACCAGUGGCGAAGGCGGCUCACUGGUCCAUUACUGACGCUGAGGUGCGAAAGCGUGGGGAGCAAACAGGAUUAGAUACCCCCGUAGUCCCUGUCUCUUAUAC
RNAcentral lists this ribosomal RNA (301 nucleotides) under uncultured bacterium. RNAcentral describes it as "partial 16S ribosomal RNA". It matches the Rfam family "Bacterial small subunit ribosomal RNA", at positions 509 to 807 of the family's 1533-position model. The record is from RNAcentral.